AUACGGAGGGUGCGAGCGUUAUUCGGAUUUACUGGGUUUAAAGGGUGCGUAGGCGGCUUUUUAAGUCAGGGGUGAAAGCCUGGCGCUUAACGCCAGAAAUGCCAUUGAUACUGGAGAGCUCGAGUCAAGAAGAGGUAAGUAGAAUUCAUGGUGUAGCGGUGAAAUGCUUAGAUACCAUGAGGAAUUCCAAUAGCGAAGGCAGCUUACUGGUCUUUGACUGACGCUGAGGCACGAAAGCGUGGGGAGCGAACAGGAUUAGAAACCCCGGUAGUCC
Molecule: ribosomal RNA, 274 nt
Filed under: uncultured bacterium
Lineage: Bacteria
Description: partial 16S ribosomal RNA
Rfam family: Bacterial small subunit ribosomal RNA
Source: RNAcentral